Molecule: long non-coding RNA, 912 nt
Filed under: Struthio camelus australis
Lineage: Eukaryota; Metazoa; Chordata; Aves; Struthioniformes; Struthionidae
Description: lncRNA (ENSSCUG00000011712.1)
Source: RNAcentral
ACUGGGGAGCUGAUACCUGGGGUUCCGUUGAUAUCCCUGUCAUUGGCAAGUCUAGAAGACUACACUCCUGUAACAGCAUUUUUCCUGAGAGCUGUUAUUCACAUGUUAGUAACAGCUGCAGUAAACAAGGGGAUUUACGGUGAAGCAGAAACACUGACAGUAUGCAUGUGCUUGUAUCAGGCAAGUCUAGUGUAUUGAUCCUACAGCUAUAAUAAGGCAUGACUUUGUUGAGACCAAUGAAGAUAACUCUUCAAUAACCAUAAUUCCACUGGCCUGCACGUUACAUCAAUUCCCUUCUCAAGCAUCAGUUGCAGGAAGCAGACAAACUUGGGCAAAUGGUCACCAAAGUGGCUCCACUGAGUUUCCCUUGAACGUCUCUGAGGCUGGAUGUAAUAGCAACCACAGGAGACAGAUGCCUGAGAGUGUCAGUGGUUCCCAAGGGAUGCAGAUGUACUGCUAAGGACAGCAGAAGCCUCCUGAAGUCUUAGAAACUCAAGAGCCGGAUUAGGUCUGUCUCCCUCAAAGCGAGUGAAGAAGUCAAAGAGGAGAAAUUGUAAUUCCUAUCGUUAAAUCCUUCCCAAGAAAGGAGCAGCAGUUUAACAGUAAGCAAGAGAGGUGUGGAAGCAAGCAAGUGCCCGUUUCAGUUUGUAUGCAGUGGAAAGCUACCAGCCCUUAACUCAGUAAUGUCUGACAAAGAAGCUGCUAUAAUGAUUGUUUAAAAGCAAAGCAAAUCUUUACAUUCACGCUUUCUCCUCCUGCAAGGCUCCAAAUCCCUAGUAGAUUUAUGAGAUUACAUCCCUUUUUCAUGCGUCUCUUUUACCAUGUGCCUUAUAUGCAUUAAAACCAACAAAUGCUGUAGAAGUAUUAGUAAGUGUUAUACAAAAAUAAACUUUUUGCCUUCUACCUAUACCA